UGUCCAUUCUACCUGCCAGGCACUGUACUCAGUCCUGGAGUUAAAGGGGUCGAGAAGACAGGCAGAUAUGUCUCCACCUUCAUGGAAUUUAGGCACCCAGCGGAAGAUAAUACUUACAUGGAGACAACAACCUGCCCAGUUGUGGGACUUUCUGUGGUAGAAGAGCAGCCUGGUUUAAGCACUGAGAAAGCCUUCAUUUCAGGAAAAAAAUAUUUAGGAAGGACAGUAUCAGAAACCCAAGGAGAGAACCAAAUUACAAAACACUGAGAAGUUAAAACACGAAGGGAUUUUGCACAACAGAAGACUUGAUGUCAGUGGCCUUUCCUGUCUUUUGUGAAAGCUUAAACCCUCUGAAGAAAUUAUGCCAGGUGUUCCGGAGAGGGAAGAGAGAGAAGUGACUU
Long non-coding RNA from Leopardus geoffroyi (Geoffroy's cat), 401 nucleotides. RefSeq lists it as uncharacterized. The record is from RefSeq and is a predicted model, not a curated record. NCBI's taxonomy places the organism in Eukaryota, Metazoa, Chordata, Mammalia, Carnivora, Felidae. The transcript is spliced from 3 exons.